UGGUCUAGCGGUCAGAACACUAGUCUUGUAAGCCUGGGGUCCCGGGUUCAAUUCCCGG
Zootermopsis nevadensis is the source of this 58-nucleotide non-coding RNA. The record is from Rfam. Lineage: Eukaryota; Metazoa; Arthropoda; Insecta; Blattodea; Termopsidae.